UUCAGAAUCCCCUUGGAAACUGGUUAAAAUGUAGAUUCUGAUGGAGGAAGUCUGGAGUGGGACAGAGAUUCCAAAGUUCUCACAAGCUUGUGGGGGAUGCUCCU
This 104-nucleotide microRNA precursor is filed under the name Marmota monax (woodchuck). Lineage: Eukaryota; Metazoa; Chordata; Mammalia; Rodentia; Sciuridae. The record is from RNAcentral.